RNAcentral lists this ribosomal RNA (548 nucleotides) under Stagonosporopsis cucurbitacearum. RNAcentral's name for it is "eukaryotic LSU rRNA". The stretch from base 175 to 328 matches the Rfam family "5.8S ribosomal RNA". Lineage: Eukaryota; Fungi; Ascomycota; Dothideomycetes; Pleosporales; Didymellaceae. The record is from RNAcentral.
UUUCCGUAGGUGAACCUGCGGAAGGAUCAUUACCUAGAGUUGCGGGCUUUGCCUGCCAUCUCUUACCCAUGUCUUUUGAGUACCUUCGUUUCCUCGGCGGGUUCGCCCGCCGAUUGGACAAAACUUAAACCCUUUGUAAUUGAAAUCAGCGUCUGAAAAAAACAUAAUAGUUACAACUUUCAACAACGGAUCUCUUGGUUCUGGCAUCGAUGAAGAACGCAGCGAAAUGCGAUAAGUAGUGUGAAUUGCAGAAUUCAGUGAAUCAUCGAAUCUUUGAACGCACAUUGCGCCCCUUGGUAUUCCAUGGGGCAUGCCUGUUCGAGCGUCAUUUGUACCUUCAAGCUCUGCUUGGUGUUGGGUGUUUGUCUCGCCUCUGCGCGCAGACUCGCCUCAAAACGAUUGGCAGCCGGCGUAUUGAUUUCGGAGCGCAGUACAUCUCGCGCUUUGCACUCACAACGACGACGUCCAAAAAGUACAUUUUUACACUCUUGACCUCGGAUCAGGUAGGGAUACCCGCUGAACUUAAGCAUAUCAAUAAGCGGAGGAAA